Long non-coding RNA from Xyrauchen texanus (razorback sucker), 1995 nucleotides. RefSeq lists it as uncharacterized. NCBI's taxonomy places the organism in Eukaryota, Metazoa, Chordata, Actinopteri, Cypriniformes, Catostomidae. The record is from RefSeq and is a predicted model, not a curated record. The transcript has 3 exons.
AAGGACUAUACACUUCUGUUCAAACACAAGAUGUCCGAGGGAAUCAAAAAAUACUGAGAGCUUGAAGACUUGUUUAGAGUUUCCUGCCUUAAAGUGAUUAACAAGGUGGAUGUAUUUUGUUGUUUGCAUGGUAUAAGUUUCUGAGGUGCUUUACGAACCAGAAUCUGCCAAACAAACAACCACACGCAUGCGCAACUUGAUCGGCACAGUCUUCGCUGAUGACUUUAUCUCGUCAGAAGGCAAUGGAGUCGGAAAAGACUUAUGGUGAACUUGCUGAGAUUCUCUUGAUUCAUUACUGAAAGGUAUAAUUAUGGUCUUUUUGUUUAAUAUUGUUCUGUACACAGAAUAAUUUGAGCCUGUCCCAAACUUAAAGGGGUAGUUCACUCAAAAAUAAAACUUCUGUGCACAAGAUUUUUUAGAAGAAUAUCUCAGCUCUGUUGGUCCAUACAAUGCAAGGGAAAGGAUACCAACAUUUUAAAACUCCAAAAAGGCAGCAUAAAAGUAGUCCAUAUGACUCCAGUGGUUAAAUCCAUACCUUAGAAGUGAUAUGAUAGGUGUAGGUGAGAAAAAUAUCAAUAUUUAAGUCCUUUUUUAAACUAUCGCUUCAGAAGUAAUAUUUUUAACCACUGCAGUCGUAUAGAUUAGUUCACCCAAAAAUGAAAAUUCUCUCAUCAUUUACUCACCCUCAAUAUAAAUUAAAAUAAUAGUUCAGCCCUGUUGGUCCAUACAAUUCAAGUAAAUGAUAGUUGAUAAAAGUAAUCCAUUCAACUCGAGUGGUUUAAUCAAUGUCUUCUGAGGUGAUCCAGUUGGUUUUGGGUGAGAACAGACCAAAAUAAAAACCCCUUUUCACUGUACAGCUUGCCAUUGCAAUCUCUAAGCACAAUUGCUGGUGCUUAAUGCAUUUGUACAGUGCUAGAGAGCGGUAUAGGAAGUAUAAUCGAGCUUGAAAUCAUGAUCUCCAAGGAGAUUUAUAGUGAAAAAUUAAUUAUAUUUUGGUCUAUUCUCACCAACAAUAAAACCAACUGGAUUACUUCAAAAGAUAUAGAUUUAAGGAGUCGUAUGGAUUACCUUUAUGCUGCCUUUAUGUGCUUUUUGGAGCUAAGGUUUUGGUCCCCAUUCACUUGCAUUGAAUAUUUUUCUAAAAAUCUUUCUGUUCUGCAGAAGAAAGAAAGUCAUACACAUCUGGGAUGGCACGAGAGUGAGUAAAUGAUGAGAGGAUUUUCAUUUUUGAGUGAACUUUCCCUUUAAUGAAAGUUGUAUUCACGUGUCAUGUUAGAAUAUGUUUAUGUCAUUAACCCAGACAGAAUCUGUGCAUGCAGAAAACUCGGCAGGAUUGCAACAUUCAUAAUUUUUAAAUGUUCUACAAAUUCCCUUCACUUGCAAGUCGUUUAUGAAAUAGUUUGGUUAAUUGUGUGUACAGUACUCUCAGGUUCAAUUAACACAUUUAACAUUGUUUAAAUCCCAUCCACCAAAUUCUGCAGAUCUUCCCCCCAAAAAUCUGCUUUGAAUGAGCCAAAAAUGUCUACAGAUGCCAUCUGGGCCAAAGCUUUCCUAUCUUCAUACUAUUGUGAAGGUUACAAAAGCUAUGAAUAUGGGUUGGGAACUGAAGGGUUUUAGAUAAUGCACAAUAUUUAGGACGAAUAACACAUUCAACAUGUUCAACAUAUAACACUAGAUAAAAAAUAUACUUGACAUCAACAUGGUGUCCACACAAAUUGAACCACUGUGCUUUGUGCACUUCCUGUGCUGCUGAGAGAAGACGCCUCAAGAUUCUUCAAAACAUUUGAGGUAAAUUACUUUAUUCACACAUUUCUAAAUCAUUUAACCAUUUUUGAAACUUAAAGGAAUACCUCACCCAAAAAUGAAAAUUCUUUCAUUAUUUACCUCAUGCCAUCCCAGAUGUGUAUGACUUUAUAUAUUCUGCUAAACACAAACGAAGAAUAUCUCAGCUCUGUAGGUCACAAACAAAUAUUUAUAAGAGUAUUUCAGCUCUGU